Molecule: long non-coding RNA, 442 nt
Organism: Ictalurus punctatus (channel catfish)
Lineage: Eukaryota; Metazoa; Chordata; Actinopteri; Siluriformes; Ictaluridae
Source: Ensembl
GUGGUGCUGAGGUGUAAAUGUGUGUGCGCUGUGUAAAUGUGGUGCAGCUGAGUAAAUGUGGUGUAAAUGUGUAAAUGUGGUGCAGCUGAGGUGUAAAUGUGGUGCAGCUAAGGUGUAAAUGUGGUGCAGCUGAGGUGUAAAUGUGGUAGCUGAGGUGUAAAUGUGGUGCAGCUGAGGUGUAAAUGUGGUGUAGCUGAGGUGUAAAUGUGGUGCAGCUGAGGUGUAAAUGUGGUGCAGCUGAGGUGUAAAUGUGUGCAGCUGAGGUGUAAAUGUGGUGCAGCUGAGGUGUAAAUGUGGUGCAGCUGUGGUGUAAAUGUGGUGCAGCUGAGCUGUAAAUGUGGUGUAAAUGUGGUGCAGCUGAGGUGUAAAUGUGGUGCAGCUGUGGUGUAAAUGUGGUGCAGCUGAGGUGUAAAUGUGGUGCAGCUGUGGUGUAAAUGUGGUG